Molecule: ribosomal RNA, 254 nt
Filed under: uncultured bacterium
Lineage: Bacteria
Description: partial 16S ribosomal RNA
Rfam family: Bacterial small subunit ribosomal RNA
Source: RNAcentral
UACGGGGGGAGCAAGCGUUGUUCGGAUUUACUGGGCGUAAAGGGCGCGUAGGCGGCCACCGCAAGUCGACUGUGAAAUCUCCGGGCUUAACCCGGAAAGGUCAGCCGAUACUGCGGGGCUCGAGUGCAGAAGGGGCAACUGGAAUUCUCGGUGUAGCGGUGAAAUGCGUAGAUAUCGAGAGGAACACCUGCGGCGAAGGCGGGUUGCUGGGCUGACACUGACGCUGAGGCGCGAAAGCGUGGGGAGCAAACAGG